Molecule: ribosomal RNA, 301 nt
Filed under: uncultured bacterium
Lineage: Bacteria
Description: partial 16S ribosomal RNA
Rfam family: Bacterial small subunit ribosomal RNA
Source: RNAcentral
GCAGUCGCCACGGUAAUACGGAGGAUCCAAGCGUUAUCCGGAAUCAUUGGGUUUAAAGGGUCCGUAGGCGGUCUUGUAAGUCAGUGGUGAAAGCCCAUCGCUCAACGGUGGAACGGCCAUUGAUACUGCAGGACUUGAAUUAUUGGGAAGUAACUAGAAUAUGUAGUGUAGCGGUGAAAUGCUUAGAGAUUACAUGGAAUACCAAUUGCGAAGGCAGGUUACUACCAAUUGAUUGACGCUGAUGGACGAAAGCGUGGGUAGCGAACAGGAUUAGAUACCCGUGUAGUCCCUGUCUCUUAUU